GCCUGGACUGAGCAUUUCCGUUUGUUUUGGUGGUUUUUAUCUACUUUAGUUUUCAUUUUAUUAAAUGUACAGAUGUGUUUGCAGCUGCAAAGUUCUUCUGGGAUGUGUACAGAAUUUGUUUGGAUAGAAAUGAGGGAAGCAGGAGUUAGUAGAAGAGUUACACAUACACCUUACUUCCUUGACUGGCUUUCACAUAACUAAAAGGUGUAUAAGAGAUAUUGUUAUACAAAUGGGAUUUCUAACUAUUCUUUCAAUCUUCCCAACGUGUCAGGAGUUCCAGGAAUCUUCUGACAUACACUGUCCUAACAUUCACCUGCCCUGGACUCCGGUGGAUGAGUUACAGGCGUUCAGGGAUUAUUGAAGAACAUGUGGAGAUUUUUAGAGUGCCUUGAAUCGUGCAUCACGAGCUUUGUAAGUGGCUUUCACAAAUCAGCAAUUUGACAGUGCAGCAUAAAUAUAACUGCUUAUGAUGAUCACAGAAACAAUAAUAGAUAAUUAGAUUAUAGUGAUGGGAUACAAGCAUAUUUUUUUAUUUUUUAGCAUGUAAAUGGCCUGUUUUAUCUCUUAAUUUCUUUGCUUGCUUUUCUUUCCACAAGACUUUAAAACCAGAUAUUCAUUCUGAUGGAGCAAGUUAUCAAAACUCAUUACAGUGAUUACGUAGCGAGUUGUUCCCUUGACCCACGUGGAUGAGUUACAGUAGGGUUAGGGUAUAACUGUCGUUCCUGACUCCUGUCACAGCAGGGAAUUAAAAUUAAGUUUGAUGAGUAAGUUGAAAGGGAGAGCCUGUGACAAAGCAGACAUCUCCCUGCAGCUCCUGGCUGCAGCCAAACGUGUUGAGGAGAUGAAGAACAGUCAUAAGAACUGAACUGGGAACACGAGCCCUUUCCCCAGUAAAUUGUUCUGUGUUGGCUCACGUGCUGUUAGUGCUAUCACUUCAGCUACAUGUUGAUGCACGAAACAAUUAUUUUGCAGAUGAGCCUGAAUUUUCUCUUAAAGUGGUAGGUGAUACAUGUAGGGAGCAAAAAACAUCAGCUGGCCAAACUUCCCUCAGCUUUGCAAUCGGAGGCUUUAAAGCGAGGGUGGCCACGGAGGGGCAUUGAUGUGGGAGUAUUUCCUCAGCAGAAAGCAAACACUUCUCCGUUCACCCCUAAGGGGACAAGGGAAAUUGUUAGAGAAAAAAAAAAGAAAUAAUGAAAAAUUGAAAAAUAAGGCCAGGCAGCGCGCAGGGAGUGGGCUUAAUUGGUUGCAUUGGGAAAUCAUCAAGAAAAGUCCCUUCUUGUGAUUUGACUCACUCCAGACUGUCUUUCUCAAGUUGUCACUCGCCUGCGUGUGGUGGAUUAAAUGGCAUCUGUUUCCUUUUGCUGUAGCAGUUCGCCUGAACAUAGCGAGUGUAGCGUUUGGUUGAUCACAUUUUCAUUUUAUUUUUUUUUCCUAGUGCAGGGUCUCCGGGGGAUCAUCUAAUAAAAACUGGAAAGUGCUACCAUUAAAAAUAAAAGCAGAGCCCUUGAAAUCAAAUGAAGCUUACGUGUAAUUAUAAAACCCACACAGAGAUGGAAACCCAACGCCAAUUAGCAAUGGUAUCGUUUGCCCCUCUCUGGGAUUUUAGCUUUACAGUCUCCACUCUUUGUUAACACCAGGCGUGAAUGUAGAUUUGAUUGUCAGUGAUGCCAUUUUGCCUUAAGAAAUAGGGCACUGCCUGCUUCCACCUGCCUGUGGCAGAGACAGUUUUCCAGAUCCUGGGGUGGUGGGUUGACCCCAGCCAGCAGUUAAGCACCCCCACAGCUGCUCAGCCACCACCCCAAUCCCCUGACCAGUGGGGUGGGGGAGAGAACAGGAAGAAAAAAAGCAAGAAAAUGCCUGGGUCAAAGUAAAGACAGUUUGCAAGUGAAAGGAAGAGGGUGCAGAGGUGCACAUGCCAUCGUGGCCAAUGAAGCCCUUCGUCCUUGUUAGAUGGAUUUGGUGCUGGGGGUCUGAUGAGUGAUGAAGAUACUAACAUUUCUGAGUAUCUGAAGCAAGGUAAAAUAAGGAUAAUCUGGAAAUGGAUGAUAUAAAGAAAAAAAAAAAAAAAGAUUAAAAAAGUCAGGUAAAGCUUUACCUAAACUUAAGUGAAAAGUUUUAUUGAUCCCUCCCACCCCCAUCAAAUGUUUAACAAUUUCAUGGACAUAGCUUACAAACGGGCCUUAAUUAAAUGCCGUGAUUAUUAAUGGGAGACUUUCUGAUCUUUUUUCAAGGAUAAACUCCAAAGAGAUGAGGUAACAUAUGAGCACUGAGAAAUACACUUUGCUUAAAAAUUGAAGUUGAAUGGGAGACAAAAGGAAAAAGGAAGGUGAGAGAGAAGGAAAAAGGGCUUUUCUGAUAAAAUCUUACUAAACUUUCUGAAAGUGUGACAAAGUAACUAAUGAUGGAACAGUGUCUGUGGGGAACAGAGCAGAUUGACUGAGAGCUCUAGUACUAAUUUUCAUCCAAAGGUGGCACUAGUCUUUUGCAGUUGGAGUUUUUGUUGAGAGAUGGGAAAGGCAGAUACCAAGAAGCCCUCAACUAAUCCAACGCUUACCAUUAAUCCCAAACAAACCAUCAUUAGUGUCUGGUUUUAUCCUGCUUAGUCCUUGCUGGAUAGUGAAUUACGUAACCUUUGUUUUAUUAACGUUUAAUGGAAGCUUAUCAUCAGGUGGGUUACCUCCAAAAAAUGGGAGGGGGAAAAGAUUGUACAUUUGCUGCUUUCUGAUCGUUAUUGUUUGUUUGAGGGAUUUUUAAGAACUUCCUUAAGAAGGGAGUGGCUACUUCAUGAUAGUCCCAUAAAUAAACUAACUUGAAACUCACUGAGCACAUUGCUUGGCAAAAAGCAGCUGUUUGAAAAAUUACAUAGACCUUUUCUACUUAACUAUCAGAUAAUGUUGAUAAACAUAGCUUAGAAAAGAACUACAAAAACUUAUCUUUAUGGUACAAAAGAAUUUGAUCUGAUACUCAGGUGCAAAAAUAGAUACUUUAAAUUCUUUUCAAUAAAUGCCUGUUCUUGGGUCCUCAUACAUUAUUGGAGACUGAUUUUAGUAUGUGUGGUAUGAAUAAGAUAACAAAAUUUCCACAGGUGCAAAGUACGGCUCAUCAUGCUAAAGAUCUUGGCCUUGUUUAGGAGGAAAAGCUGGUGCUGGAGUUGUAAAAGGAAGCCACUGGGCAAGCGUUGCAGGAGGGAAAGGAUUUUGAGGUAAAAAAUGCGAAGGAAAAAAAUGUCUAGUGCCAUAUGUUAGAAUUUUGAUGUAUGCAUGAUGCAGUAUUGCAGAGGCUGGUAAGGAAAUGGCUUCAGAGCAGUUAUCUGAGUUGCAUCAGAAUAAAUGCAAAAGGAGAAAAAAAAAGUUUUUUAACCCAGGAUGGCAAUGUGUAUGCUGAGCAGCAGACCUGCAGCAGAUACUUUAUGUGAUUUGAGCACAUAUAAUGUGUGACAAGAGAAUAUGGUUAAUUCCAUUCGCCAGAUGUUUACUUUCAAUCUCUCUUUCAUUUUUCCCAAAUGAUAAGGGUUCAUUAUCAAAUUGUCAACAUUUUCUCAGUGUUGAUAAAACUCCAGAGAUGAGAGAAGUCCCAGCAGUCGAUGUACAUAGUUAUUUCAUGCCCACGCUGAAGGAGAUGCACUAACAGAGACUCUGCUCUGCCAAGUGCUGGUAGAGAGUGGUCUCACAGAAACCCUAAACUGGACGGGCCUGACUGGGUGUGAAACUGGUGGAAGCUCCUCAAAGAUCUCACGCAACGUGCACUUUUAGGUGUUUAGUCUUUUGUGUCCUUCUGAGCUUAUGCAGCUCCUGCCAAAAGCUGAAUAUUUUAAUCAUUGGAACAAAAUCCAAAAAGCCCUUUUGCUGUGUCUGUGAGGGGUUGCAUCAAAGUUGUGCCUGCUGCAGAUUGACACAUCUGAGAUUAUCACCUGACAUACUGUGAUAAAGCUUAAAUGCCUUUCCAAAAGUGACAGACUAAUCAAAAGCAAAUUUGUUUUUAAAGCUCUUCUUGGGAGAUUUCAUUCUUGUUUGUUGUUUUGUUUAGUUUUUUUUAUUUGGUUUUAUUUCUAAAAACAAAAAAUAGCUAGUCAUUCCACUUACAUAGUAAGUGGGUGACAUCUUGAGUGCUGGUGAAAGAGUGCUGCAACUGUAGAUAGUAUUUCCUAAUUCUGAGUCAGACUUAUGGCCUCUGUCCUCUAGGAAACAUAACACUUUGGGAACAGUAUAAAGUUAGAGGAACUUCCCUAUAAUUUUGAAGCAAAGAUUGACAUAAACAGAAGUAGAAAUGUUCUGAGGAAUAUGUUUGCAACUACCUUUCUGUUUUACUGCUGCAAAGAAGUUUUGUGAUACUUGAAUGAUCUAAAACUGGUAGAAAGAGAGCAGUUCUUUUAUUAGAUUAAAAGAAAGCUUUUGAAAAUACAACCUUUUUUUUUCAUAAAUACAUCAUUUUUUUCUAAUAAAUUGCUUUUACCAAUAAGUUUUACCUCUGAUGUCAUUAGACCAUCAUAUGAAAAAAACUUUGAAUCAUAUAGAAAGCUAAGGUGUUUUGAUGGUAUCUUCAGAAAGUAUGAGUUCAAUCUGUUUAUUGCAAAAAAGUAUACUAGUAAAGUCAAAUCACUGAAUUAUUGGGAAAAAUGCCAGCAAUUUCAUGAACUAAGUAACACAGCAUUAUGUGAACUUUCCUGUGCCUGCUUUUACCUGUGAGCAUUGAGUGCUCAUUUAGUUUAUUUUGACAAGUCAGAACAAAAAAAAUAAAAUUAGGUAUUUUCCAGAUACUUACAAUGAUUUCAGCAAAUAAGUUGCAGGACAUGUAGAAAAUUGUGGAUUCAGCAGCACACUGCAUGAUUUAAAAAACCCUGAUGUUACUGCUGAUUCUCAGAUCAGAUGAAUUAAGGAAUUGUUUCCUCAAUUAAUUUUGAUUUGACCACAAUAUGCAGUAAAACUCAUAAUGGCCAUUUCUUAUCCUUUGAAUCACAAGAUACCUUUGCAUUAGGUCAUCUGUGAAUAGUGAACGGUUUCCUGGCUGUUUAAAAUAUUAUUUUUAUAAUGCAUGUAUUCUUCUACCAUUUCACACUCUGUAUGCUUGGAAAUUCCAGCACUGUUUUGCUGUUAAAUAGUAUUGGGAGAAAAGCAGAAAUGCCAGUUUGUUCUUAGAAGGAAGUAAUGUCAGGGGCAGAGGUUUGAGUAUCGAGAUCCUGCGAGGCACGCUUGGCUCUGCUAUUGCCUUGUUUAGAUUUCAGCCAUAUCCCUUUUUCCUCUUUGUCAAUUGGAAAAUAGGAAUGUAAGUGUGAUUAAAAAUACGUCUGGCUUAAAGGGAAGGUUAAGUGAUAAUUUAUUCAGCUGACAAACAUCCACAUUGUGACACUUCUACUAAUAGAGUGUGCUUUGCUUGGCAGCCGAAGGGAUGAUAAUAGCCCAUCAUCUCUUGGAAAUGAAAUUACACUAGAGGUAAGAUGCAAAACGUUCACAGCGAAGGUAAUUAACAAUUGAGUGUAAUAGCAGUUGACAGGGUGGUUUCCCCACUGGGUAGGAUUUCAAAUUGAAGCUGAAUAUCUUGUGAAGGCUUGCUUCGACUCAAAGUUCUGAGCCUUAUAAAGAGUGGAUUCAGAACUGGAACCACCAUGUGAAACUCUCUGUGCUGAGUGCUUGUAGGUGAGAUGGUGGUAACGUGGGCGUCUGGUCGUCCUUAGGGAGCUGGGAAUGUCAGUUAUUGUGCCUGAUGCUUGUAACUUCUUCCAGGAGCCUUGGCUGGGAGAUACAAAUAAUCAUUCAUUGUGAUUAUUUCUUCUACUUUAUAUCAAACUGGAGAAACUAAACCAGCUUGAACUGAUCCUGUCUUUAAAAUUAUCUGAAAACUUAGCAUAGGAUAAAGUUUCUAUUUUUGACAUACUUUUAGUUUUUCUGAUAUAUAUGGAUAAAAAGGGUGAAUUAUAAAGAACAUAGAGUUAAACCGUUGCAUCAGAACAAGGACUUACAUUCUGAUCAGUUAAUUUGGAAAGAUACGAAACCUUAAAGGAACCGGUUGAUUCUCGGGGGUAAUGCUGAGAAAUCACCAAGGGUGGUGGCAGAGGGAAGUUCUGUGAUACAGCAGCUGCAUUCAGAAGACUUGCAUUCAGCUGGGGUGUGAGGUUAUUUCCAGCGGGUGGGGUCGGUGCCAGCAGCACAUGGAAAUGGCAGGAUGCUCGGGGCGGCUGGCAGGAGGCAGCGCUCUCCGGGUAUGGGUGAAAACAGCAGCAUCUUCUGCCAAAUCCUACAGAGGUCUGUGUGUGCCAAUGUUCUGACGUCCCAAAAAAUGUGGGGAUUCCUUUGGUAUUAAACAAUUCAAGUUGCCAGCAGAAGUGGUGCUAAAAUACAGGGUUUAUUUCUGUUCUGCCUCCCUUCCACACUAUAGGAAUUGCAGUAAAAGGAAGAGAGAUGUCCUGUGGCUUUCAGAAUACUCCCCCAGGGGUUUUGACCCCCUGGUGAAAUGCAGGAGAUACUUUAUCACUGGUGUGGACUUCCAAACAGAGGUUCAGCAAAAGAAACCCCUCUCUUGUAAAUUGCAUAGAUACUCACAAAGCUUUCUAUAGAUGUUGCUGUUUUCAUGUCAUCUCUGUUAUGUUUUUGGUAAUUGUGCCAUGCUCUUUUACUUUCUUUCCUAAACAUCAGAAAUUCUCUGCCACAGAUUUGACAGCAUGUUGGAAUAAUUCUGCGAGUGGAGAGGAUCCCGAGGUAAAACAUGCAGGCAGAGCAGAGAGCAAGGGCUUCUUCACCAGUUAUAGGCAUAGACUGCGCUGGGCACUGGGGAAAGAUGGUGAAUGCAAACAACCCCUAAAACAAGUGGCCCCCAUGCAGCUGGUGUCCUGCAAACGCAGUGGCUGGUGCGUGCCCCGUGUCCGUAGCCCCCGGCAGCGCUGCCCCGAGGGACUGCACCUGGGAGAGACAGUCAGUGCAGAGUGGUACAACGCCCCGUCUUGUUACCGUUUCAGGAAACCUCAUUAGUUUCAGGAAAAAGUAAAGAAGUUUUUUGUUUUGUUUCUAUAACGACUCUUGCCGUGCCAUCUGCUGCUUUUUAUUCUUGAGCCUGGCGGGUGCCAUGGAGCUGAUCUAUAACUCAAGCACUUGCUUUGGCAGUAGGAGAGACUUUCUCAGUGAGGACCUGCAGCCACACGCCGGUGGUCCUGAGGUCUGUGCCCUGGAGCAGCACCAGCCAGGACUCCCCUGCUUCUUGGGAAAGCCUCAGCACCCUGCUGAUGUCAAUAGGCUUGAGUCCCUUGGCCUCAAGAGAGAGAAGUCCUCCCCUUCUACCCUGGUGAGGUGACAUCUACAGUGCUGUGUCCAGAUCUGGGCCCCUCAGUUUAAGAAGGACAGGAAACUACUGGAUAGAGUCUGGUGGAGGGCUAUGAAGAUGAUCAGGGGAAUGGAGCACCUCUCUCACGAGGAAAGACUGAGAGACCCUGGUCUGUUUAGCCUGGAGAAGAACGCACUGCUGCUUGGAGAACACCUCUGGAUAAUCAGUGAUGGGUGGUGUGUCACGGCUCACCAGUCACAGGAUGGUCUCCUGAUUCUCACAUGAUCAAGAAAAGGAAAUUUAUUUUAGUGCCCUAAAGCCCCUGCUGCUCCCUGCUUGCUGUGUACCUUUACUUCAGUUGUGUUCUGAGCUGCUGCAUGAACCUUUUCAGGCCACAUCAUAGCUGAGCCUCAACAUCCUUUAACUGGAGCCUCAUCACCCUAAAGACAUUUUGGUCUUUGCUGGCUGUUUCCAGUUGCCAUUCUGCUGCUGUCAACUGGGAACUGCUGAGUUUCAUUCCACUGUUGCUACUGGGUGGAUUUAAUGAUGCUUUGCAAUCUGGUAGAGCACCUUCCCCAUACUCAGCUAGGUGAUGCUUCUGGUGGUGCUACGUAUGAGAAUGAAAUGGAAGCACGUUCAAAGAUACAGUUAUCUCCUGAGUGACUGAAAAGAAUAGGCUGUUCUUCACUCCUCUUCUUGAUAGAGAAAGCCACAAUUGAACAAAAAUGCAGACUUUGGAAAAUCAAGAUGAUAAAAUCUUUGUUGAAAAAAUGAUCACUAGUAUGUUCUGGGCUAAGGUUUGUCUUGGACCCUUUGUAACGAACUCCGUGGGGAAGGCAACACCAAAUGCUAUCGUUCUGAUGCUUUAUCCCUCCUCAGUAUCUUUCUGGGGGCAGUCUCCAAUACCAUGGAUGUAACUCAUGCUGCUUGCAACAGGAACAGCCUUUAACCCUGCGUGUCUUUUGCCCUGCUCCUGAGGGAGAGAGCUUGCCUUGUAGGAUUGAUCUGGUUUAAAUUUCUCAAGACCCAGGUCACGAGCAAAUGUUUUUCCUCUUCACUUGGGCCACUGAGAAAGUAUUCACUUUUUCUUUUCCGGUUUGGUGUCAGAUGGAAGAUGCUUUACUGAAGACAGAGUGAGGAGGGGCAUGCCCCUGGGGACCUGACCUCAGCCAGGAUGUGACACCGCCGGUGCCGCCGAGGAGAGGCUGACCAGCUGAGAGAUCAUGAGAGCUGUGUGAUGUCUCAUACGCCGCCCGCUUGUCCCUCCGCAUGAAACAUAGGUAAAAAGGUCAUGUUGUGUUCCAUUGUGCUACUCUUCAAAAAUCACAGUGUAGUUUUCCAAACUAAGCCGUGCCACAUGUGAUUUGCCACCUGAACAAUAUUUAGCCCCGUUGGCACUUUUUAACUUUCUGCAGAUUUUAAACUGCCGCAGAUUUUUAAAUCCUUCCUAUUUCAUAGAGCUUUCCCUGCUUGAAUCCUUGAAAAAAGUUUCCUGUACUUACACUUUUGCGAGAUGACGCUGUGCCAAAAUGCCUUCACAGAUCCUGAAAAUGGUAAUUACAGAAACGGCAGUUACAUGUGCACACCAGGAACCUGGGGAGCUGCGAUGUUUUUAGCUGCAAAUAGACACAAGGCCUAGGAAAGUUCCAUAUUCGUGUGGCGACUGUUGGUAACAGAGAGCCAUGGAAGAAAUUUGGACCAAAGCAAGUACUUUUCUUUCUUUUCCAAUUACUAUUGCUAUUUUCAGUAUUACUUUUGGUCACGUACGGCUCCUCAGAAGCAAGCCCCCAUUUAAGUGUCUUAUUGGUCUUUACUCUGGAAGUUUGUGACAAUCUUGGCUGUGGAAAGAGAAGAGAGAGAGGGGCUAUAAUGGGGAGAACAGGACCAGGAGCUUGCUGGGUAAGCGAACGCCAACCUAGACAUGGUGAGAAUUUCUUUUUCCUCUGUGGAAAAUGCUAAUCAAAAAUAAAAUUCAUAAAAAUUAAUGGGAUUUUUUCAUUCUCAGCAACUGAACUCUGGGAAACUGUCAGUUUUUCACUUUAGCCAAGUUUAUCUAGAUUUUGGCUUUCCAAAGAAAAAUAUUUUUUUUCAAAAGAGCAGAGGUUUACCUGGAAAAGUAUUUGGCUGAAACAUACUCUGGUUUGUCUUUGGAUAAAAUAAAUCUUUCAUAUAAAUUGUA
Molecule: long non-coding RNA, 9430 nt
Organism: Calidris pugnax (ruff)
Lineage: Eukaryota; Metazoa; Chordata; Aves; Charadriiformes; Scolopacidae
Exons: 4
Source: RefSeq, a predicted model, not a curated record